Macaca mulatta (Rhesus monkey) is the source of this 1221-nucleotide non-coding RNA. NCBI's taxonomy places the organism in Eukaryota, Metazoa, Chordata, Mammalia, Primates, Cercopithecidae. The record is from RefSeq and is a predicted model, not a curated record.
UUGAAAUGUGCUUGGCAGGGAAGUUCUGCUCAGAAAGAAUGUCUCAUAUAGCUGUAAUCAGUCGUGGCCUUGGGCAGCAGUUCACUGAAGUUUCAACUUGGCUGAAUGUUCAAGAUCGCCCAUUCAAAUGCCAGAUCCUGGCAUUUGAGGCUGGCUGGCUGCCGUGUCUACAAGAAAAGUAAUUAAAUGCCCAACAGAGUAACGAGAAAAGUAAAACGAUGAACUAUUAAUGAAAUCAACAAGGAACGGAGAAACAGUCCACAACCAGCCUAGAAGCAAGGAGAGGGAAGAGUUACAUUUACCGCUAUUUGAAGUGAGAGCUGUGACUCCAGCAAUGGGAGAGACACCUGAUAGAAACUUUCAUCUUCAAGAAAGAAAUGGAACCACUGACAUCCCUCAGUCCAGCAAGCAAGAGGUCAAGGGAACAAAGACACCAUUCUCCUUCUCCUUUCCCCGACAACCUCCAGCUUGUAUUUCUCAUUGGCUGACCCCAAAGUAAAGACAGGACAAACAUCCUUUUGUUUUCAAAAUAGCCAGCAGCCCAGGAGAUGAAGCAAAGUGAAGAAGACAGGUGAGCUGAAGGGACAGGUGAAUCUCCAGGACCAUGACAGUUUGUUGUAGUUCCAGUCUUCCUGCCAUGACACAGAGGCCUGAAUAUACAUUGGCAACAGCAAGACAGAAAUGUUUCUCUCCUGUGUAAGUCUCCAAAAGUGGAUAGUCCAGCACUGGUAAGUUUCCUCUGUUCCUCUAAAUAUAAAGCUUCCCCCUCUGCAUCCAAAGAAGCUGCCAACACUCUUUAUCCUAGGCAGCGGAAAUGAGAAAAGCACGCACACUGCUUUGAAUAGCUUGUCGUGAAAGGGACAUGUGUCAUUUCUCAUGUGCCAUUGUCCCAAACAAGGUCAUCCAUUGCACAAAGGGCCCAGCUAAGCCUUGGUGAUUUUCAUCAUGAAGGCGGAGAGAACUGAUGCUGGUGCAAUACCAUCAAAGGUGCUCCAGGGAGAAGAAAGAGCAUGUAUGAAAGCACUAAGAUGUAAAGAAGCUUGUUUGGAAACAUUUAUGCGUGAAGAGAAUGAUGAUUUCCAGUGUUUGUAAAUACACAUACACAUAAACUUUUCCUGAAGUUUACACGUUAUGUCAUAUAUUGUGCACAAUAUUUCUCUUAAAGUGCCUUGUCUUGGACAGUCAACUUGCUACAUGGGCCAAUAAAAUGUGUAUGCUAAA